UUUAUUCCUUAAAAAUCAAAGAAUACAUCUGUUCGCAAGUCAGGACACACAAAAUUGAAAUGGGGUUCUCCCAACUGACGAAAUGACAAUAGCCAAUAUAAAGGCAAGUUUUUUAACAAUAAAAUACAUGAGAAUGGGAAAGUGGGCUUUCUUCAAAGUCUUCGAACCUUUUGAACUUCUUGAACCAUCUUCUCUGACGCCUCUAGUAUAUCAAUCCAUGGCUUCUUCACCUUAUCAAAAAUCCAAGCAUUUUUAGCUCUCCAAAUAUUCCAACAUUGAACUGCCAACAAGAGGAUUUGCUUAUCUCCAUGUUGUUGUCCUCGAAAUCUUGUCUUCUGCUCUAACCACCAAUCAUGGAAAUUAUUGAGUUGAUGCAUUUGGCUAACCAUGGACGAGGAAGAAUUACUCCAUACUUCCUUCGAUUCUGGGAAAGAAACAAGGCAAUGUAAUACAGAUUCUAUGUCUCCGUGGCAUCUCAAGCAAAUGGGUUCUGUUGCUAGAAAUCUUUGGUGUAGUUGCUGCAUCACCGGGAGGUGGCCAUGGAGUGCUUUCCAUAGGAAAAUUGCAAUAUUGCUAGGCACCUGAAGCUUCCAUAAAUGCACCCAAAGUUCUCUUUGGCGUGUCAGAUUUGGAUUCAUCUCAACUGGUUCAUGAAAAAAUUGGCUCUCUGUCAAAUUAAUGCUAAAAGGAUAAGGGGGUGGGAGCCAAAGAUCCUGAAAAAUCUAGAUGUUGUAGCCAUCACCGACACUCCAAAGAAGGCCUUUCUCCAUAAUUCUUCGUCCCUCCAACACGCUUGUCCAUUCUCAGGAUGAUAAUAUUCCGACUUCUGAUUGCAUUACA
Non-coding RNA from Arachis ipaensis, 840 nucleotides. NCBI's taxonomy places the organism in Eukaryota, Viridiplantae, Streptophyta, Magnoliopsida, Fabales, Fabaceae. The record is from RefSeq and is a predicted model, not a curated record.